CUUCAAAGAAUUUCCAGCUGAAACGGAAAUUACAAUGGAGGUCUUGCUGCAGGGUGUUCCAAUGAUUGUGUAUUCUGAGCACUAGUUUGACUUGCAUCGAAAAGAGACAGGCAGAUCUCUCUCAGAAAUCACCAGGGGGAGAAGAAAAGCCUGAUCCGUUUGGAAUUUUUUUUUUUUGAGUCCCUGUAGUUUUGCCCCGUGGGUCUCCAUGCACAUCAAGCUGCCAGCUCUGAAUCUCCUGAGAUGUUGGCUCCUGCAAGAAUGCCAGUGGCAGCUGGGAAAAAAAUGGCAAACACCGAAAAAAAUCCUUCUCCACUUCUGAAAUCUGGUCCAAAGUUUUCUGCAAAUAUUGAUCCUGCAAAUACAGCAACAGAGAUGCCMAGAAGACACACCACAGUUAUGGUCCCUAUGAUUCUGAUGUCAUUKGACUC
Molecule: long non-coding RNA, 431 nt
Organism: Malurus melanocephalus (red-backed fairy wren)
Lineage: Eukaryota; Metazoa; Chordata; Aves; Passeriformes; Maluridae
Exons: 4
Source: RefSeq, a predicted model, not a curated record